CUGAAAUGUAAAGAACUUCUAUUGAAAGGUUCCAGAGUAGGCGCUACAACGCCGAAAUGACCCUUCUCACCCUUGUGUACUCACCAUGUUGCUUUGGCGGGCCGACCCGGUUCCGACCCGGGCGGCCGGCGCCCCCAGCCCUUGACUGGGCCAGGACGCCCGGCCAAGUGCCCGCCAGUAUACAAAACUCAAGAAUUCAUCUUGUGAAGUCCUGAUAUAUCAUAUUCAAUUGAUUA
This 236-nucleotide unclassified non-coding RNA is filed under the name uncultured Ascomycota. RNAcentral's name for it is "sequence contains ITS1". Lineage: Eukaryota; Fungi; Ascomycota. The record is from RNAcentral.